UCGUAACAAGGUCUCCGUUGGUGAACCAGCGGAGGGAUCAUUACCGAGUUUACAACUCCCAAACCCCUGUGAACAUACCUUAAUGUUGCCUCGGCGGAUCAGCCCGCGCCCCGUAAAACGGGACGGCCCGCCAGAGGACCCAAACUCUAAUGUUUCUUAUUGUAACUUCUGAGUAAAACAAACAAAUAAAUCAAAACUUUCAACAACGGAUCUCUUGGUUCUGGCAUCGAUGAAGAACGCAGCAAAAUGCGAUAAGUAAUGUGAAUUGCAGAAUUCAGUGAAUCAUCGAAUCUUUGAACGCACAUUGCGCCCGCUGGUAUUCCGGCGGGCAUGCCUGUUCGAGCGUCAUUUCAACCCUCAAGCCCCCGGGUUUGGUGUUGGGGAUCGGCUCUGCCCUUCUGGGCGGUGCCGCCCCCGAAAUACAUUGGCGGUCUCGCUGCAGCCUCCAUUGCGUAGUAGCUAACACCUCGCAACUGGAACGCGGCGCGGCCAUGCCGUAAAACCCCAACUUCUGAAUGUUGACCUCGGAUCAGGUAGGAAUACCCGCUGAACUUAAGCAUAUC
Molecule: unclassified non-coding RNA, 563 nt
Filed under: Fusarium tricinctum
Lineage: Eukaryota; Fungi; Ascomycota; Sordariomycetes; Hypocreales; Nectriaceae
Description: sequence contains 18S rRNA gene, ITS1, 5.8S rRNA gene, ITS2, 28S rRNA gene
Rfam family: 5.8S ribosomal RNA (bases 195-348)
Source: RNAcentral